This 116-nucleotide ribosomal RNA is filed under the name Pteropus alecto (black flying fox). Lineage: Eukaryota; Metazoa; Chordata; Mammalia; Chiroptera; Pteropodidae. The record is from RNAcentral.
GUUUAUGGCUAUACCACCGUGAACAAGUCCAAAGUCCAAUCUCGGAAGCUAAGCAGGGUCGGGCCUGGUUAGUACUUGGAUGGGAGACCACCUAGGAAGACCAGGUGCUGCAAGCA